This 21-nucleotide small nuclear RNA is filed under the name Arabidopsis thaliana (thale cress). RNAcentral describes it as "snRNA_04961". The record is from RNAcentral. Lineage: Eukaryota; Viridiplantae; Streptophyta; Magnoliopsida; Brassicales; Brassicaceae.
AAGCCAAUGGUUGAAGCAUCU